AUCAGCGUCUAGAAAUGAACUCAAGAUGUUACCACAGGGAAUAUUCAACAACUUGAAAGAUUUAAAGGACCUGUCGUUAUACGACAACAAACUGCAAAACCUUUCCUCUACGAUAUUUGGUAACCUUACCUCCCUGACGAAACUGUCCUUUUCCGUCAACCAGCUCAGUCACCUACCACCGAAUAUUUACAAAGAAAAUAAAAAC
Molecule: long non-coding RNA, 205 nt
Organism: Stylophora pistillata
Lineage: Eukaryota; Metazoa; Cnidaria; Anthozoa; Scleractinia; Pocilloporidae
Source: RefSeq, a predicted model, not a curated record